GACGAACCGUGCGAACGUUAUUCGGAAUCACUGGGCUUAAAGCGCGUGUAGGCGGGACGGCACGUCGGUUGCUGAAAUCCCCCGGCUCAACCGGGGAACGGGCACCGAUACGACCGCCCUGGAGGAACGUAGGGGGACCUGGAACUUCCGGUGGAGCGGUGAAAUGCGUUGAGAUCGGAAGGAACGCCCGUGGCGAAAGCGAGGUCCUGGACGUUUUCUGACGCUGAGACGCGAAAGCCAGGGGAGCGAACGGG
Molecule: ribosomal RNA, 254 nt
Filed under: uncultured bacterium
Lineage: Bacteria
Description: partial 16S ribosomal RNA
Rfam family: Bacterial small subunit ribosomal RNA
Source: RNAcentral